ACCUUCUUUAAGGUCUGUACUAAAAUUUUAGAAACUAGUAUCAUGUCGUGGUAGUUGAAAAUAAAGAUAGGAAAGUAAGCACAAGAAGAAAAAAUAGCUGAACAGCUGUACCAGGUAGAAGAAAAACUGAGAUAGACCUCUUCUAAGACACCAGCUCUUUGUUCUAAGAUUUGGUAGAAUAAUA
Molecule: small nucleolar RNA, 184 nt
Organism: Sciurus vulgaris (Eurasian red squirrel)
Lineage: Eukaryota; Metazoa; Chordata; Mammalia; Rodentia; Sciuridae
Source: Ensembl